GACGAACUGUGCAAACGUUAUUCGGAAUCACUGGGCUUAAAGGGUGCGUAGGCGGUCUUUUAAGUAGGGUGUGAAAGCCCCCGGCUCAACCGGGGAACUGCGCCCUAAACUAGAAGGCUUGAGUGAGGUAGGGGUGUGUGGAACUUCCAGUGGAGCGGUGAAAUGUGUUGAUAUUGGAAGGAACGCCGGUGGCGAAAGCGACACACUGGACCUUGUCUGACGCUGAGGCACGAAAGCCAGGGGAGCAAACGGG
Molecule: ribosomal RNA, 253 nt
Filed under: uncultured bacterium
Lineage: Bacteria
Also listed under: 1 other name
Description: partial 16S ribosomal RNA
Rfam family: Bacterial small subunit ribosomal RNA
Source: RNAcentral